AGGACGAACGCUGGCGGCGUGCUUAACACAUGCAAGUCGAACGGAAAGGCCCUUUCGGGGGUACUCGAGUGGCGAACGGGUGAGUAACACGUGGGUGAUCUGCCCUGCACUUCGGGAUAAGCUUGGGAAACUGGGUCUAAUACCGGAUAGGACUACGGACUUCAUGGUUUGUGGUGGAAAGCUUUUGCGGUGUGGGAUGGGCCCGCGGCCUAUCAGCUUGUUGGUGGGGUGAUGGCCUACCAAGGCGACGACGGGUA
RNAcentral lists this ribosomal RNA (257 nucleotides) under uncultured bacterium. RNAcentral describes it as "partial small subunit ribosomal RNA". It matches the Rfam family "Bacterial small subunit ribosomal RNA", at positions 26 to 285 of the family's 1533-position model. The record is from RNAcentral.